CUGGCUUAAUUUGGAUUGAUUCUGAAGGGUGGAAUGGACUUCUUGUGUUUAGGAAAUCCAUUAGAUCCCGUUUAUACGGGAACUAACCUCAAACAAGUGUCUAGGACUUCUUGUCGUCUAUUCUGCACUUGCACAUUCAUUGGGGCGUUUCCGCGAGGGGAUUCUCUUGCUACGAUGUUCCGAGCGUUGGUUUGCUAUUAGAGAAUAUUUUCUCAAGAUUGCUGUUGGCGUUUGCCUAGGAGAACUCGUGCGAGAAGAUCCAGUUCAUAUCUUGACUUAACUAUACCGUGUGCUUGUUCUAUAUGCAGAAACACUCGCGGUUUUGCUGUUUCAAAUCCAUUUCAGAAAUAUACAAAAAUUGAAGAAAUAUUGGUCUUCAAUGUUUCAGUCUUUCUGGUCUUUUCCUUUCUAGCGGGUGCGCGGCUAUCCGGGUGCCAUGUUCUUCGCGCAUCCUGAUGAAGGUCGCCGAUGCAGUAACUCCUUUUUCCAUAUAACGCGC
Molecule: small RNA, 499 nt
Filed under: Histoplasma capsulatum
Lineage: Eukaryota; Fungi; Ascomycota; Eurotiomycetes; Onygenales; Ajellomycetaceae
Also listed under: 1 other name
Description: hypothetical RNA
Source: RNAcentral